AAGCACUUUCGAUGAUCCUUCGGGUGAUUUGAUUGUGACUGCUUGGCGGACGGGUGAGUAACGCGUGAGUAACCUGCCUCAUACAGGGGAAUAACAGUUAGAAAUGACUGCUAAUGCCGCAUAAGCGCACAGGGCCGCAUGGCCCGGUGUGAAAAACUCCGGUGGUAUGAGAUGGACUCGCGUCUGAUUAGCUAGUUGGUGAGGUAACGGCCCACCAAGGCGACGAUCAGUAGCCGGCCUGAGAGGGUGAACGGCCACAUUGGGACUGAGACACGGCCCAAACUCCUACGAGAGGCAGCAGUGGGGAAUAUUGCACAAUGGGGGAAACCCUGAUGCAGCGACGCCGCGUGAGUGAAGAAGUAUUUCGGUAUGUAAAGCUCUAUCAGCAGGGAAGAAAAUGACGGUACCUGACUAAGAAGCCCCGGCUAACUACGUGCCAGCAGCCGCGGUAAUACGUAGGGGGCAAGCGUUAUCCGGAUUUACUGGGUGUAAAGGGAGCGUAGACGGCUUUGCAAGUCUGACGUGAAACUCCGGGGCUCAACUCCGGAACUGCGUUGGAAACUGUAAGGCUUGAGUGCCGGAGAGGUAAGCGGAAUUCCUAGUGUAGCGGUGAAAUGCGUAGAUAUUAGGAGGAACACCAGUGGCGAAGGCGGCUUACUGGACGGCAACUGACGUUGAGGCUCGAAAGCGUGGGGAGCAAACAGGAUUAGAUACCCUGGUAG
Molecule: ribosomal RNA, 722 nt
Filed under: uncultured bacterium
Lineage: Bacteria
Description: bacterial SSU rRNA
Rfam family: Bacterial small subunit ribosomal RNA
Source: RNAcentral